GUACCUCUAGUGGAUGGGGUUAAAGAAAAAUUUGGACGAUUAUGCUCCAAUUACUAGCAGCAGCGAAGCUCAAAAUUUCACAAGUCCCCCAUGGUCCUUAAGAAUUACAAGCGGAUGAAGCAAAACUGUAGUGGUGGUAGUUUUUGUUCGGAGGAUAGUGAAAGUGGUAGUGGACAGGACGGGAUCUAUAUGAAUUAUAUGUUCAAAUUUUGAGAGUUUGAAGGAUGAAGAGUGGUGGUAGUUGGUCUUCGGAGGAUAGAGAAAGUGGUGGUGGUGGACGGGACGGGACGGGACGGGAUCUCUAUGAAUUAUAUGUUCAAGUUAAGUUUUGAGAGUAGGCUGAGAACCAUAUUAAUUCAUGCCUAUGUCUACAAAAAAGUACUACUAUAUGUUACAUAAAGAAGGAUUACAAAGUG
Molecule: long non-coding RNA, 416 nt
Filed under: Panax ginseng (ginseng)
Lineage: Eukaryota; Viridiplantae; Streptophyta; Magnoliopsida; Apiales; Araliaceae
Description: long non-coding RNA (PGIN_LNC014013)
Source: RNAcentral